AUGGAGAUCCUGCUGCGGCUGCCGCCGAUCUCCCGGCGCCGGGUCCGCCUCGUCUGCAGUCUCUGGCGAGACAUCAUCGACAAGCACACCACGGAGAUGCAGAGCCGCGCCACAGCCCUCCAUUGGGAUACCUGGGACGCCGUCGCCCACGUCGUCCACGACCUGUCCAAGUCAUCGACGGGGAGCCACACAGAGCUGUGGCUUCCGGACAGCAUGGCGGCCGACUUCCGGUUCCGGAAGAACAGUAGCCUGCAGCUGAUCGGCACGUGCAAUGGUCUUCUCUGCCUGUGCGACAACAAGUAG
Molecule: ribosomal RNA, 303 nt
Filed under: Triticum aestivum (bread wheat)
Lineage: Eukaryota; Viridiplantae; Streptophyta; Magnoliopsida; Poales; Poaceae
Description: partial small subunit ribosomal RNA
Source: RNAcentral